Molecule: transfer RNA, 73 nt
Filed under: Salmo salar (Atlantic salmon)
Lineage: Eukaryota; Metazoa; Chordata; Actinopteri; Salmoniformes; Salmonidae
Rfam family: tRNA
About the family: Transfer RNA (tRNA) molecules are approximately 80 nucleotides in length.
Source: Rfam by way of RNAcentral
GAGCAUGGGGCUCAGGUGGUAGAGCAUGGAGCUUGCAACGCCAGCGUUGUGGGUUUGAUUCCUGCUGGGCCCA